UUGAUGCUUAGCAUCAGCAACAUGUCGGAAGAAGACAAGUUGCACAACUUCAUUAGCGGGCUGCAACAGUGGGCGCAACUUGAGUUGCGUAGGCAGAAUAUUCAAAACCUCGCAAGUGUUGUGGCUGCGGCGAAUGCAUUGGGCGAUUUACAUAUUAAUGAGGAGAAUUCCGCUUCAAAGUCCAACGACGGAAAGAAGGACAAGGCAAAGGAGUGGAAGAAAUGUGAAAAUGGCAAUGCACAUGAAGAU
RNAcentral lists this long non-coding RNA (249 nucleotides) under Nicotiana benthamiana. RNAcentral's name for it is "long non-coding RNA (NBEN_LNC001243)". The record is from RNAcentral. Lineage: Eukaryota; Viridiplantae; Streptophyta; Magnoliopsida; Solanales; Solanaceae.